RNAcentral lists this ribosomal RNA (585 nucleotides) under uncultured bacterium. RNAcentral describes it as "partial 16S ribosomal RNA". It matches the Rfam family "Bacterial small subunit ribosomal RNA", at positions 355 to 938 of the family's 1533-position model. The record is from RNAcentral.
UGGGGAAUUUUGGACGAUGGGCGAAAGCCUGAUCCAGCAAUGCCGCGUGUGUGAAGAAGGCCUUCGGGUUGUAAAGCACUUUUGUCCGGAAAGAAAUCCUCUGGGUUAAUACCUCGGGGGGAUGACGGUACCGGAAGAAUAAGCACCGGCUAACUACGUGCCAGCAGCCGCGGUAAUACGUAGGGUGCAAGCGUUAAUCGGAAUUACUGGGCGUAAAGCGUGCGCAGGCGGUUUUGUAAGACGGAUGUGAAAUCCCCGGGCUUAACCUGGGAACUGCAUUCGUGACUGCAAGGCUAGAGUAUGGCAGAGGGGGGUAGAAUUCCACGUGUAGCAGUGAAAUGCGUAGAGAUGUGGAGGAAUACCGAUGGCGAAGGCAGCCCCCUGGGCCAAUACUGACGCUCAUGCACGAAAGCGUGGGGAGCAAACAGGAUUAGAUACCCUGGUAGUCCACGCCCUAAACGAUGUCAACUAGUUGUUGGGGAUUCAUUUCCUUAGUAACGUAGCUAACGCGUGAAGUUGACCGCCUGGGGGAGUACGGUCGCAAGAUUAAAACUUAAAUGAAUUGACGGGGUCAAGCUGUUUCCU